GUCCCUCAGAGGGAAAACUCUCUACCUAAGCUCUUCAGCAGGUGGGGACAGAGGCCCAUCCCCCGCAUCAGCAGCAGAUGCAGAAACUGAGGCUGAAAAAUGGGAAGGCGACCCUCUGAUCUCCUUUCCCCCACACAGCCCCCUUGUCCAGGAAGGACUAUCUCCCCUCAUGUCCAGACACUGCAUGGCCCAGGGUACCGCAUAUAGUCCUGAUAUGACAAGUAGAUGAGCCCACUCUUCCACUAGGAGGCGCUGGAAUCUCUCCCUCAGGACACCCUCUGUGAGCUCGGCCUCUGGGACAGCAGCAACUCCAGCUGUGCGCUCUGGAGCCUGAACACAGCUUCUUUGUUGACCCCUCUUCACCCCGGACACAUGUCCUCAAGUUCAUCCAGGCUCUUGGGAGAUGGAGGACCUACAACAAACCAGGGGAACACUUGGUGCCAUUCCGCUGGUUCUUGAGAACCAGGAUGAAAGUUUACCCUGUGCCUGCUCUGUGGAGAGGAGCCCUGUGAGGAAAGCAAAGAAGGAUGAUUCCAUUUCCAGUGGGAAAGGGACC
This is a long non-coding RNA of Eptesicus fuscus (big brown bat), 556 nucleotides long. RefSeq lists it as uncharacterized. The record is from RefSeq and is a predicted model, not a curated record. The transcript is spliced from 5 exons. NCBI's taxonomy places the organism in Eukaryota, Metazoa, Chordata, Mammalia, Chiroptera, Vespertilionidae.